RNAcentral lists this ribosomal RNA (460 nucleotides) under uncultured bacterium. RNAcentral describes it as "partial 16S ribosomal RNA". It matches the Rfam family "Bacterial small subunit ribosomal RNA", at positions 338 to 795 of the family's 1533-position model. The record is from RNAcentral.
CCUACGGGUGGCAGCAGUGAGGAAUAUUGGUCAAUGGGCGCUAGCCUGAACCAGCCAAGUAGCGUGAAGGAUUACUGCCCUAUGGGUUGUAAACUUCUUUUAUAUGGGAAUAAAGUGCGGUAUGUAUACUGCUUUGCAUGUACCUUAUGAAUAAGGAUCGGCUAACUCCGGGCCAGCAGCCGCGGUAAUACGGAGGAACGGAGCGUUAUCCGGGUUUUUUGGGUUUAAAGGGAGCGGAGGCUGGUUGUUAAGUCAGUUGUGAAAGUUUGCGGCUCAACCGUAAAAUUGCAGUUGAAACUGGCAUCCUUGAGUACAGUAGAGGUAGGCGGAAUUCGUGGUGUAGCGGUGAAAUGCUUAGAUAUCACGCAGAACCCCGAUUGCGAAGGCAGCCUGCUGGACUGUAACUGACGCUGAUGCACGAAAGUGUGGGUAUCAAACAGGAUUAGAUACCCUUGUAGUC